This 515-nucleotide ribosomal RNA is filed under the name Clostridium sp. EG1. RNAcentral describes it as "bacterial SSU rRNA". It matches the Rfam family "Bacterial small subunit ribosomal RNA", at positions 8 to 521 of the family's 1533-position model. The record is from RNAcentral. Lineage: Bacteria; Bacillati; Bacillota; Clostridia; Eubacteriales; Clostridiaceae.
AGAGUUUGAUCCUGGCUCAGGAUGAACGCUGGCGGCGUGCCUAAUACAUGCAAGUCGAACGCGAGCAGCAUGCUCGAGUGGCGAACGGGUGAGUAAUACAUAAGUAACCUGCCCUAGACAGGGGGAUAACUGCUGGAAACGGCAGCUAAGACCGCAUAGGUAUGGACACUGCAUGGUGACCAUAUUAAAAGUGCCAAGGCACUGGUAGAGGAUGGACUUAUGGCGCAUUAGCUGGUUGGUGAGGUAACGGCUCACCAAGGCGACGAUGCGUAGCCGACCUGAGAGGGUGACCGGCCACACUGGGACUGAGACACGGCCCAGACUCCUACGGGAGGCAGCAGUAGGGAAUUUUCGGCAAUGGGGGGAACCCUGACCGAGCAACGCCGCGUGAAGGAAGAAGGAAUUCGUUCUGUAAACUUCUGUUAUAAAGGAAGAACGGCGGAUAUAGGGAAUGAUAUCCGAGUGACGGUACUUUAUGAGAAAGCCACGGCUAACUACGUGCCAGCAGCCGCGGU